UCAUAUAGGCAAAAGGUUAGAUGAGU
This 26-nucleotide small RNA is filed under the name Bombyx mori (domestic silkworm). RNAcentral's name for it is "ovarian small RNA-25973". The record is from RNAcentral. Lineage: Eukaryota; Metazoa; Arthropoda; Insecta; Lepidoptera; Bombycidae.